Molecule: ribosomal RNA, 526 nt
Filed under: Kurthia sp. L189_RBo
Lineage: Bacteria; Bacillati; Bacillota; Bacilli; Caryophanales; Caryophanaceae
Description: partial 16S ribosomal RNA
Rfam family: Bacterial small subunit ribosomal RNA
Source: RNAcentral
UAGUGCUGCAGCUAACGCAUUAAGCACUCCGCCGUGGGGAGUACGGCCGCAAGGUUGAAANUCGAAGGAAUUGAACGGGGGCCCGCACAAGCGGUGGAGCAUNUGGUCUAAUUCGAAGCAACGCGAAGNACCUUACCAGNUCUUGACAUCCCNAUGACCGCUCUAGAGAUAGAGUUUUCCCUUGCGGGGACAUUGGUGACAGCUGGUGCAUGGUNGUCGUCAGCUCGUGUCGUGAGAUGUUGGGNUAAGUCCCGCAACGAGCGCAACCCUUGAUCUUANUUGCCAUCAUUUAGUCGGGCACUCUAAGGUGACUGCCGGUGACAAACCGGAGGAAGGUGGGGAUGACGUCNAAUCAUCAUGCCCCUUAUGACCUGGGCUACACACGUGCUACAAUGGACGAUACAAAGAGUCGCUAACUCGUCGAGGGUAUGCUAAUCUCAUAAAAUCGUUCUCAGUUCGGAUUGUAGGCUGCAACUCGCCUANCAUGAAGCCUGGAAUCGNCUAGUAACUCGUGGAUCAGCAUGUC